RNAcentral lists this ribosomal RNA (879 nucleotides) under Ophiocordyceps nujiangensis. RNAcentral describes it as "SSU rRNA". It matches the Rfam family "Eukaryotic small subunit ribosomal RNA", at positions 81 to 970 of the family's 1831-position model. The record is from RNAcentral. Lineage: Eukaryota; Fungi; Ascomycota; Sordariomycetes; Hypocreales; Ophiocordycipitaceae.
GCGAAACUGCGAAUGGCUCAUUACACAAGUUAUCGUUUAUUUGAUAGUACCUUACUACUUGGAUAACCGUGGUAAUUCUAGAGCUAAUACAUGCUGAAAAUCCCGACUCCGGAAGGGAUGUAUUUAUUAGAUUCAAAGCCAAUGCCCCCCGGGCUCACUGGUGAUUCAUGAUAACUGCUCGAAUCGCACGGCCUUGCGCCGGCGAUGGUUCAUUCAAAUUUCUUCCCUAUCAACUUUCGAUGUUUGGGUAGUGGCCAAACAUGGUUGCAACGGGUAACGGAGGGUUAGGGCUCGACCCCGGAGAAGGAGCCUGAGAAACGGCUACUACAUCCAAGGAAGGCAGCAGGCGCGCAAAUUACCCAAUCCCGACACGGGGAGGUAGUGACAAUAAAUACUGAUACAGGGCUCUUUUGGGUCUUGUAAUUGGAAUGAGUACAAUUUAAAUCCCUUAACGAGGAACAAUUGGAGGGCAAGUCUGGUGCCAGCAGCCGCGGUAAUUCCAGCUCCAAUAGCGUAUAUUAAAGUUGUUGUGGUUAAAAAGCUCGUAGUUGAACCUUGGGCCUGGCUGGCCGGUCCGCCUCACCGCGUGCACUGGUCCGGCCGGGCCUUUCCCUCUGUGGAACCCCAUGCCCUUCGCUGGGCGUGGCGGGGAAACAGGACUUUUACUUUGAAAAAAUUAGAGUGCUCCAGGCAGGCCUAUGCUCGAAUACAUUAGCAUGGAAUAAUGAAAUAGGACGCGCGGUUCUAUUUUGUUGGUUUCUAGGACCGCCGUAAUGAUUAAUAGGGACAGUCGGGGGCAUCAGUAUUCAAUAGUCAGAGGUGAAAUUCUUGGAUCUAUUGAAGACUAACUACUGCGAAAGCAUUUGUCAAGGAUGUUUU